GUCUGGCUGGCUCAGUCGGUAGAGCAUGCAACUCUUGAUCUCAGGGUUGUAAGUUCAAGCCUCAUGUUGGAUG
Molecule: transfer RNA, 73 nt
Filed under: Felis catus (domestic cat)
Lineage: Eukaryota; Metazoa; Chordata; Mammalia; Carnivora; Felidae
Also listed under: 3 other names
Rfam family: tRNA
About the family: Transfer RNA (tRNA) molecules are approximately 80 nucleotides in length. Their secondary structure includes four short double-helical elements and three loops (D, anti-codon, and T loops).
Source: Rfam by way of RNAcentral